GAUGAUAGAAAACUUCUAUAUAUAUAUAUGUCGGGUUAACGUUGGAUUUCUGGGCGUGUAAUGAAUCUUCAUAAGUUAACAAGUGAUAUUGAGUGAUUGAGUGAUCAAGAUGUCGUUGACGAUGAAUUUAGGUUCGAUAACGAAUACACGGUCAAUGGGAUGACGAUUGCGAUUAGAAACUCGGCCUUCGUAAACUUUUGACGAAACCUUCAAAUAGAAGUUUUGGUUCAGAGAUAAUAUAUUUUUAUAGUAUUAUAAAUAUAAUUUGGCAACUUUAGAAUACUUUGAGAAUGUAUAUGUAUCUGACAAGUGUGAAGAAAACACGUGUUAUUAAGUGCGCAAUAAUACACAUCACUGGCGCC
Molecule: long non-coding RNA, 362 nt
Organism: Bombus pascuorum
Lineage: Eukaryota; Metazoa; Arthropoda; Insecta; Hymenoptera; Apidae
Exons: 3
Source: RefSeq, a predicted model, not a curated record